AUUAUUAUUAUUAUUGUUAUUGUUUCUAUCAUUUGUAAUCCAACCUGCAUGACCUUGAUGAUGAAAUUGUUUUUUUCUCCAUGUAUUAAUUGGUGGCCAACCAAGAAGUUUGAGACUUUCUUCCUCAAAAUCCUUGUGACAAGUGGCAUUAAAAGGUUUCUUGUUUCUUCCAUGGUUAUCAUCAUCUUCAUUUGGUUGGCCAUUCCAUAUGAACAAAGACAACGUCUUACGUUCAACUACUCCUUCAUCCUCAUGAAAGGCCUCUUCAAAACAUCGCUUUUGCUUCAUCUUCAUCUUCAUAUCGGAGAAGCUAUCAUCAAAACCAUUCUUCCUAUAACUCGUGAUUGCAUUGAUGGGAAAAUGGUUACAAUUUGAAAUAGCAAGGCCAAGCUCUAGUUCCAUAUCACAAAAGUUGUAUUAAUUAAAUGAGUUGAUCAAAAGAAAAGGGGUAGCA
RNAcentral lists this unclassified non-coding RNA (454 nucleotides) under Hevea brasiliensis (rubber tree). The record is from RNAcentral. Lineage: Eukaryota; Viridiplantae; Streptophyta; Magnoliopsida; Malpighiales; Euphorbiaceae.